Long non-coding RNA from Dama dama (fallow deer), 2577 nucleotides. RefSeq lists it as uncharacterized. The transcript is spliced from 3 exons. The record is from RefSeq and is a predicted model, not a curated record. NCBI's taxonomy places the organism in Eukaryota, Metazoa, Chordata, Mammalia, Artiodactyla, Cervidae.
CUAAAGCUCAUACUGUUUUCCCUGUGUCCCACUCCUCUCUUUAUAAACAGAAAUAACUGCAGCCUUCUUUAAAAGGGACGGUCCCAGAGCAUGUGAAACGAAAGUUGAGUUUCCUGUACGUUUCUGAGAAACGACCACUGUGUGAAGUGGUUCCUGCUGGUCUGGAUACGCGUCAGAUCCAGGCUCUGGGCAGUGAGCAAGCCCUUCCAGACCUUCCCCUUAGCCCACUUCUAUCCUGAGGUCCCUCCUGGUCCCUUUGUGGUUACCCAGGUCUCUACCUAAAAUAGGCCUGCCCUCUGCAGCAGUCUGGGUGGGGCUGGGGAAGCCUCUAGAAGACUGCAACUUCCUACCAGUGUCAGAUGAAUGCAGUUCAUCCUGCAGCAUGGAACAAGGAGCAGGACCGGAGCCCCUGGGUCUUCACAGCUCCUUGUGGGUGCGUGUCAGGGCGCGUGGGGAUGGUGUCAGCUGCAGCGGCACCGUCUACACGUUUCUCCCUUUCUCUCCUUCCCACUCCAGCCCAGGAGAUCCCACUAGGGCUCAGUGACCUCCUGACCUGAUGGACUUUAGGAUCCAGGUCAUACUGGGUAACUAGGAGUCAUUCCCACAGAAUCCUACUUUUGAUGACUGUGUCCCCCCUGACACAGUAGGCCAGAGCUGGUACAGGCUGACCUUCCUGUCAGGGUGAGUUGCCCAGCAUGCUUUAGAGUUUUAGUGGGUCAGGUAUUGAUUUUCAUUUUGGUUUUUUUUUUGGUAGGAUUACCUUGUAUGUAGGCAAAUAAAUUAUGAAAAGUGUUGGUUAUACACUUAAUUACUUGGCUAAAAAUGUUAGAGCUUCCUGGUCUAGCCUGUCUUCUAGCUUCUCCGUGAACUUCGGGAACUUUCUCUGGAAGGACUUUUGUUAGGCCCAGCCUAAAACUAGUUAUUUUGGGGAAUUCUCUGGCAAUCCAGUGAUUAGGACUCCAUUGUUUUUUAGUGCUGAUGACACAGGUUUGAUCCCUGAUUGGGGAACUGAGAUGCCACAAGCUGCACAGCGUGGCCUCCCCACAAAAGGCAACCCCCCUGCCAAAACCCCAAACUAGUUAUUUUCCCUUUCUUUGACUUAAGAGACCUCGGUCACUUGACAGCUCUUGCUGAGCUUCCCAUGGCUACCUGGGAAGCCUACUCAUUGAAAACAGCAUCUCACAUGUGCCCACUAGUCACUGGGGUGUCAGUCUCAUGAUUCCAAGCUCUGCCGUCAGCAGUGUGUUGUGAGGGGCCUGCCCUUCAUCGCAUUGUGCUAAGGGACGGAUCGUCAUGCCCCCGUCACAUCCUUGCCUCUCAGAUUCACUUGUCUUGACCUCUGGGGUGAGAUGGCCUCGCUUUCACCGAGGGUGGCCCUGGGUUUUGCUCAUUUCUGCGUUAGACAUUUACUGAGCAUGUGAUGGUCCCCGAGACUGGUAUGAGAUGACUGCACUGGAGCUGACAUGUGGGGCUCAGGUAAUGACGGCAGGUGCACCAGCACCGUUCCCAGCUGAGUGGAGUGUAAACAGUCUGUUUGUUUAACCUGCGCUGUGCAGCCAGACACCCCUCGGGCCCUUCCCCCAGCAGCGCUUUGAGGCUUUGUGGUUCACAGGAGGAAACACAGAGAGGGUCAGGGUUUUCAGGCUGGCUUUCUCUGGAGCUAGUGCUCCCCGCACUCGGGGGUGUGUGGAUGAACCUGAGUGUUUGCGAUGCUGGGACUAGAAGAGGCGCAUUCUUUCUGUUCCUGUGGUACCUGUCACAGCUACCUGUCAGCAGUGUUUAUUUUUGGUUUUUGUCUGUGGAACCUUUCAGAUACCAUCAUGAUGAUAGCUGUGAUGGUAGCAGCUCAGCCGAUGAAGUCGCAGUUGUUCUGGGUUUAGAUGGUGCGUGGUCUUUACUGAAUAAUGAGGUCCUGCAGGCUGGUGGGCUCAUGGCCAUGCUGCCUGCCAUCUCUAGCCUCACCAUGGGAACCUCCCGGAAGAGCACCAAGACCCCUGGGCAUGUCUUAUACAGUGAUGCUGUGCCCCCAGAGUUCAAUGCAGCUGUUGGAAUUUGUGCUAAAAAGCUCUGCAACACAAUGUUCCCUUCUUAGAAGGCGUUUAGAAAAAAAUGUAGGAAGACUUUUAUUAUGGGAAACUUCCAUAGCAAAAAAGGCUAACAGGUUUCAUUUAUCUAUUAAAAAAAAUUUUUUUUUGCUUGAAUGCAUAGGACAUUUACCUGUUCAAAACAAUAAAAAUGUACAAUGAAAAGCUUCUCUCCUGCCUCUGUCUAUUUAUCCUAUUCAAGCCCCCACCCCAACCUCAGAAGUCACCUUACUAGUUUCUGGGAUCUUUUGGCAGGUGUUCUCUUUUUUUCUUUCCUUUUUCUUUUUUUAAAAAGAUUUUUGAUGGGGACCAUUUUAAAAUUUUUUAUUGUAUCUGUUACAGUGUUGCUUCUGUAACAGAAGCAUGUGGGAUCUUGGCUCCUUGACCAGGAAUUGAACCUGCACCCCCUGCAUUGGAAGGGGAAACUUUAACCACUGAACCACCAGGGAAGUCCUGCCAGAUGUUUUCUAUGUAUAUCUUGUCAAACAUGACU